GCGUGCAGGUAUAUCUUUACUUUAACGUCCUGCCAACGAAUCUUCGGGCAUGUCCGAAAUCGGCCCCGAAAAAUUUAUUUGUGCAAAACAAUUGCGAAGAAAACUUGUGAAUAAACCUUUUUAGUGGUUAAUUUUUAGCGGAAUCCUUUCGUCGAAUAUUUUACCCGGUUUCGUGCAGAAUCGCUGAUGUUCCGUUGUACAAGAAACUGAGGGAAGUAUAAGCAAUAUAAUUCCUGUUCGAAGCGGUCGAGGUUUCAGUUUCUUACAGGCGCUGUAAUUGUUGUCGUACAUAUUACAUAGCAACUUCCACAGCGUCAUGUUAGCUGUUUGUGUUGCCAUUAAAAUAUCGGCUGCUCGAGGUAGAAGCUUUGUCGACUUGGCGUCGAUUGGAAUCAUACAAUCGCACAAGGACGGGUAGCAGACUAGCAGGAAGUGGAAAAUCGGCGUUGGGAGAUAAUCAAGAAAAUCAACCAGGAACGAUCGAUGGAAAUGUUUUACGGUAUGCUCUGCUUUUGCCGACCUCCAUGAAGAACACGACUGCAGCCAUAAAAAGCAUUCCCAAAACCGUAUAAAUCGUGGUUAACAGAACCGGCAUACGAAUCUGAGCGACCCGUUUUUUGUUACGCUGGGAUUCAGGAAUGUACGGCACACUGUACGCAGAAUAAAGCUGAUCGAAAUGGAGAUCUACGAUGCGCUGCAAGUUGCCGGUUUUAGCUAGUCGAACUACCCUGCAAAUAAAUUGGAAAGGUGCCUUAACCGCGGUGACAAAGCCUGCUUUCCGGAACAGCGGUGUUUCGUCCAUGCUGAAAAUAGCCACCUUAUCGUACUCUGAAACUGAUGCAGCGUAUUCAAGGAACAAGGCCAAAGAGCUUCCGGAAUCAUAUUGUCGCAUCUUUGGAGUCAACGGUUUUAA
Paramacrobiotus metropolitanus is the source of this 913-nucleotide long non-coding RNA. RefSeq lists it as uncharacterized. The transcript is spliced from 3 exons. The record is from RefSeq and is a predicted model, not a curated record. Lineage: Eukaryota; Metazoa; Tardigrada; Eutardigrada; Parachela; Macrobiotidae.